This 109-nucleotide small RNA is filed under the name Rhizobium sp. Root1212. RNAcentral's name for it is "EcpR1". It matches the Rfam family "EcpR1". Rfam says of the family: Perviously named SmelC291, SmrC10, or Sra33. According to its overproduction phenotype it was renamed Elongated Cell Phenotype RNA1. Lineage: Bacteria; Pseudomonadati; Pseudomonadota; Alphaproteobacteria; Hyphomicrobiales; Rhizobiaceae. The record is from Rfam by way of RNAcentral.
UUACCCCAUGAUGCUCAGGUCCGCCGCAUCUCCUGGGUCGUGGGGUUUGUCGGCUGAUCAUUGGCAACUGCGGUUCCUCGUGCCGCCGCCAAGAUCAGCCGACGCCCAU